CCUUCAUAGGCCACUCACACCCUGUGCAGGACUCAGUCCCAGUCAGCACACAACAUGGACAUGAGGGUCCCUGCUCAGCUACUGGGGCUCCUGCUGCUCUGGCUGCCAGGUGGCACAUGCGACAUCCAGUUGACCCAGUCUCCAUCCAUCCUGUAUGCAUCUCCAGGAGACAAAAUCACCAUUACUUGUCGGGCCAGUCAAGGCAUCAGCAGCUAUUUAGGCUGGUAUCAGCAGAAACCAGGGAACGCCCCUGAGCUCCUGAUCUAUGAUUCAUACAAUUUGUACGCUGGGGUCCCAGCAAGGUUCAGUGGCAGUGGAUUUGGGACAGAUUUUACUCUCACCAUAAGCAGCUUGGAAUGUGAGGAUUCUGCAAUUUAUUACUGUCAACAGCGUCACAGUUACCCACCCACAGUGAUACAAAUCAUUACAUAAACCUCCCAGGGAAGC
Non-coding RNA from Cavia porcellus (domestic guinea pig), 447 nucleotides. Lineage: Eukaryota; Metazoa; Chordata; Mammalia; Rodentia; Caviidae. The record is from the annotation of a RefSeq genome assembly.